GACGAACGCUGGCGGCGUGCCUAAUACAUGCCAGUCGAGCGAAGUUUUUCUGGUGCUUGCACUAGAAAAACUUAGCGGCGAACGGGUGAGUAACACGUAAAGAACCUGCCUCAUAGACUGGGACAACUAUUGGAAACGAUAGCUAAUACCGGAUAACAGUAUUUCUCGCAUGAGAGAUAUUUAAAAGUUGGUUAUGCUAACACUAUGAGAUGGCUUUGCGGUGCAUUAGCUAGUUGGUGGGGUAAAGGCCCACCAAGGCGACGAUGCAUAGCCGACCUGAGAGGGUGAUCGGCCACACUGGGACUGAGACACGGCCCAGACUCCUACGGGAGGCAGCAGUAGGGAAUCUUCCGCAAUGGGCGAAAGCCCGACGGAGCAACGCCGCGUGAGUGAAGAAGGAUUUCGGUUCGUAAAGCUCUGUUGUUAGGGAAGAAUGGAUAUGUAGUAACUAUACAUGUAAGAGACGGUACCUAACCAGAAAGCCACGGCUAACUACGUG
This 499-nucleotide ribosomal RNA is filed under the name uncultured bacterium. Its description in RNAcentral is "partial 16S ribosomal RNA". It matches the Rfam family "Bacterial small subunit ribosomal RNA", at positions 28 to 507 of the family's 1533-position model. The record is from RNAcentral.